AGCGUGCAUGCAAGUUUGUCGGUCAAACCCAUCAAAACAUUCAGAGCGAAAAAAGAAAAAAAAAUCACUGCAACAGAAAUCAAACGCAAAUCCAUGUACUGAUGCUAGUUUUAAAUGAAAUUCGGCCGCGGUGGAACAACAGCGCUAUCAUGAUUUUGUAUGUGAAGAUGGUCAUCGGCUUGGUGGCAGCUGCAAAAACAGCCGAACUCGCCGCUGCUGGUUACUCUUGGCAAUGAAUGAACCAGCUGCAAGGAGAACCCAUUGUUCCGGAUCACCUACACGUGGACAUCGAACCAAAAAGUCUGAUUCACCAGCAUCAAGCGUAGGCCAUCCUGAACAACAGCCUGGAUCCAAGAAGCAAGCGCUGAAAGAAAGCCAUCUCUGUGAGGUUUAUUUAGCUACGUAAUUGCUGCAUUCAUGGACUUUAAUCAGACUAUGAAAUGUAAGUGACUGGAUCACCGAUGAUUAAUCGCACCACCUCAACGGAGCACGAGCUUCGAAAGCAUUGUUCAAGGCAAAAUUGUGCCAUAAUUCUAUUUUUUUAUUUUAAAUAUCGAAUAAGGCAACCUUAAGCUUUAAUAAACAUUCAAAAUAUUUUGUCCUCAAUGAAAAUUAUUUCUUAAAUUGAAUAAGUCACAAUGAAACAAGAAAUAAGUG
Molecule: long non-coding RNA, 657 nt
Filed under: Aedes aegypti (yellow fever mosquito)
Lineage: Eukaryota; Metazoa; Arthropoda; Insecta; Diptera; Culicidae
Description: lncRNA AAEL023230
Source: RNAcentral